CGUAGGGUGCGAGCGUUAAUCGGAAUUACUGGGCGUAAAGCGUGCGCAGGCGGUUUUGUAAGACAGAUGUGAAAUCCCCGGGCUCAACCUGGGACCUGCAUUUGUGACUGCAAGGCUAGAGUACGGUAGAGGGGGAUGGAAUUCCGCGUGUAGCAGUGAAAUGCGUAGAUAUGCGGAGGAACACCGAUGGCGAAGGCAAUCCCCUGGAUCUGUACUGACGCUCAUGCACGAAAGCGUGGGGAGCAAACAGGAUUAGAUACCCUGGUAGUCCACGCCCUAAACGAUGUCAACUGGUUGUUGGGUCUUUACUGACUCAGUAACGAAGCUAACGCGUGAAGUUGACCGCCUGGGGAGUACGGCCGCAAGGUUG
RNAcentral lists this ribosomal RNA (370 nucleotides) under uncultured organism. RNAcentral describes it as "bacterial SSU rRNA". It matches the Rfam family "Bacterial small subunit ribosomal RNA", at positions 526 to 896 of the family's 1533-position model. The record is from RNAcentral.